RNAcentral lists this ribosomal RNA (499 nucleotides) under uncultured bacterium. Its description in RNAcentral is "partial 16S ribosomal RNA". It matches the Rfam family "Bacterial small subunit ribosomal RNA", at positions 28 to 507 of the family's 1533-position model. The record is from RNAcentral.
GACGAACGCUGGCGGCGUGCCUAAUACAUGCAAGUCGAGCGAAGUUUUUCUGGUGCUUGCACUAGAAAAACUUAGCGGCGAACGGGUGAGUAACACGUAAAGAACCUGCCUCAUAGACUGGGACAACUAUUGGAAACGAUAGCUAAUACCGGAUAACAGUAUUUCUCGCAUGAGAGAUAUUUAAAAGUUGGUUAUGCUAACACUAUGAGAUGGCUUUGCGGUGCAUUAGCUAGUUGGUGGGGUAAAGGCCCACCAAGGCGACGAUGCAUAGCCGACCUGAGAGGGUGAUCGGCCACACUGGGACUGAGACACGGCCCAGACUCCUACGGGAGGCAGCAGUAGGGAAUCUUCCGCAAUGGGCGAAAGCCUGACGGAGCAACGCCGCGUGAGUGAAGAAGGAUUUCGGUUCGUAAGGCUCUGUUGUUAGGGAAGAAUGGAUAUGUAGUAACUAUACAUGUAAGAGACGGUACCUAACCAGAAAGCCACGGCUAACUACGUG